Oreochromis niloticus (Nile tilapia) is the source of this 325-nucleotide long non-coding RNA. RefSeq lists it as uncharacterized. The transcript is spliced from 3 exons. Lineage: Eukaryota; Metazoa; Chordata; Actinopteri; Cichliformes; Cichlidae. The record is from RefSeq and is a predicted model, not a curated record.
CGAAAUUCGGUUGGUGAAAACUUUUUAGGUCUGAUGCGGGAAGAGGGUGUAAACAUUUUGAAAAGGUUUUUGAGACUUCUCAAGGAUACUGUGUCUUGGACCUUGGACUCUGGCUUAUCUCUAGUGAUGGCAAGUUACCAAUCUUCAGAAAGAAGACAGACCUCUGUUUGGCAGGAGUUCUAUGGAGACUGCUUAUGAUCCAUCCCCAGAGAAACCUGUGCUGUGCGCCUCGAUCAGCUCCAAAACCUCCAGGUUCUCAUCCUUUUCCAGAAUUGAAGACAACACAGCCGGCAGCUCAGUCUGAUGUAACGGCUUUACUUUUACU